Molecule: non-coding RNA, 45 nt
Organism: Trichobilharzia regenti
Lineage: Eukaryota; Metazoa; Platyhelminthes; Trematoda; Strigeidida; Schistosomatidae
Source: Rfam
AUCCAGGUGACGAGUCUGAAAUAGGACGAAAUGUGCAUCUUGGAU